AAUGAGUUGGCAGAGCUAUGCACUUGACUUAGGAUCAACUAACAGGAAUCAUUCCUACUCAUU
Molecule: transfer RNA, 63 nt
Filed under: Perinereis nuntia
Lineage: Eukaryota; Metazoa; Annelida; Polychaeta; Phyllodocida; Nereididae
Description: tRNA-Leu
Source: RNAcentral